This 250-nucleotide ribosomal RNA is filed under the name uncultured Actinomycetes bacterium. RNAcentral describes it as "uncultured actinobacterium partial 16S ribosomal RNA". It matches the Rfam family "Bacterial small subunit ribosomal RNA", at positions 28 to 276 of the family's 1533-position model. The record is from RNAcentral. Lineage: Bacteria; Bacillati; Actinomycetota; Actinomycetes.
GAUGAACGCUGGCGGCGUGCUUAACACAUGCAAGUCGAACGGGAUCCAGGCAGCUUGCUGCCUGGUGAGAGUGGCGAACGGGUGAGUAAUGCGUGACCGACCUGCCCCAUACACCGGAAUAGCUCCUGGAAACGGGUGGUAAUGCCGGAUGCUCCGACUCCUCGCAUGGGGUGUCGGGAAAGAUUUCAUCGGUAUGGGAUGGGGGUCGCGUCCUAUCAGGUAGUCGGCGGGGUAACGGCCACCGAGCCUA